CAGAAUUUAACUAACUUUCCAAAAGAAGAAACAUUAAAUAAAUGGUAAAAUUAAACUAAAGACCAAAUUUCCCCCUCGCCUGGUGAACAAAUGGAAUGGUCUGCUGAGGAAGUUUGACAACCAUAUAUGGACACCAAUCAGCUGGAGCUCAUCUCUGAUUUUCAGCCACAGGUCCAGAGGAAACUGGUAACUCAAAAGAAAAAUAAUUAAUUUGUUGUAUUUAACAAAAUAUACAAAGAACUGACACAUAAAGUUAACUAAAUGGGUGCACAACAAAUAGUUAACUAAAGAGUCAGACUAAUGAAAACAAAUUUAAAGAUAAAAAUCUAAACUACUCACUAAUCAAUACAUAAAGUAAUAUUAAGGGAAAACAAAAAACCAUUACCAACAGUGUCUGCGUGUGACAGUCGGGACAGCUGUCACAAGGUGUCAAUCGCUGAAUGUUAUGU
This is a long non-coding RNA of Xiphophorus couchianus (Monterrey platyfish), 449 nucleotides long. RefSeq lists it as uncharacterized. The transcript has 4 exons. Lineage: Eukaryota; Metazoa; Chordata; Actinopteri; Cyprinodontiformes; Poeciliidae. The record is from RefSeq and is a predicted model, not a curated record.